Molecule: ribosomal RNA, 880 nt
Filed under: uncultured bacterium
Lineage: Bacteria
Description: bacterial SSU rRNA
Rfam family: Bacterial small subunit ribosomal RNA
Source: RNAcentral
AACACAUGCAAGUCGUACGGGAUCGGGGGCAACUCCGGUUCAGUGGCGAACGGGUGCGUAACACGUGAGAAACUUUUCCAACGGUGGGGGAUAGCCGGCCUAACGGCCGGGUAAUACCGCGUACGCUCUUCCGGGGGCAUCCCUGGGAGAGGAGAGCAGCCGCAAGGUUGCGCCGGUGGAGAGUCUCGCGGCCUAUCAGCUAGUUGGCGGGGUAAUGGCCCACCAAGGCGACGACGGGUAGCUGGUCUGAGAGGAUGGCCAGCCACAUUGGGACUGAGACACGGCCCAGACUCCUACGGGAGGCAGCAGUGGGGAAUAUUGCGCAAUGGCCGAAAGGCUGACGCAGCGACGCCGCGUGUGGGUUGACGGCCUUCGGGUUGUAAACCACUGUCGGGAGGGACGAAUGACGGACGGCGAAUGGCCGAUCCGGCGCGACGGUACCUCCAGAGGAAGCACCGGCUAACUCCGUGCCAGCAGCCGCGGUAAUACGGAGGGUGCGAGCGUUGUCCGGAAUCACUGGGCGUAAAGGGCGCGUAGGCGGUUCGUUAAGUCGUUGGUGAAAUCCCGGGGCUCAACUCCGGGGCGGCCGACGAGACUGGCGGGCUGGAGCACGGUAGAGGCAGAUGGAAUUCCCGGUGUAGCGGUGGAAUGCGUAGAUAUCGGGAAGAACACCAGUGGCGAAGGCGUUCUGCUGGGCCGUUGCUGACGCUGAGGCGCGACAGCGUGGGGAGCAAACAGGAUUAGAUACCCUGGUAGUCCACGCCGUAAACGAUGGACACUAGGCGUCGGGGGGAGCGACCCUCCCGGUGCCGUCGCUAACGCAGUAAGUGUCCCGCCUGGGGAGUACGGCCGCAAGGCUGAAACUCAAAUGAAUUGACGG